This 457-nucleotide ribosomal RNA is filed under the name uncultured candidate division TA06 bacterium. Its description in RNAcentral is "bacterial SSU rRNA". It matches the Rfam family "Bacterial small subunit ribosomal RNA", at positions 346 to 795 of the family's 1533-position model. The record is from RNAcentral.
GGGCAGCAGUAGGGAAUAUUGCGCAAUGGACGAAAGUCUGACGCAGCAACGCCGCGUGGAUGAUGAAGCUCUUUGGAGUGUAAAAACCUGUCAGCGGGGAAGAAACGUAUAAGAAGUAACUGUCUUAUACCUGACGGUACCCGCAGAGGAAGUCCCGGCUAACUCCGUGCCAGCAGCCGCGGUAAUACGGGGGGGACAAGCGUUGUUCGGAUUCACUGGGCGUAAAGGGCGCGUAGGCUGAUCUUUAAGUCGGAUGUGAAAACUUGCAGCUCAACUGCAAGCCUGCAUUCGAAACUGGAGGUCUUGAGUACAGUAGAGGAAAGCGGAAUUCCAGGUGUAGCGGUGAAAUGCGUAGAUAUCUGGAAGAACACCGGUAGCGAAGGCGGCUUUCUGGGCUGAUACUGACGCUGAAGCGCGAAGGCUUGGGUAGCAAACAGGAUUAGAUACCCCUGUAGUC